RNAcentral lists this ribosomal RNA (587 nucleotides) under Sphingomonas parapaucimobilis. Its description in RNAcentral is "bacterial SSU rRNA". It matches the Rfam family "Bacterial small subunit ribosomal RNA", at positions 88 to 710 of the family's 1533-position model. Lineage: Bacteria; Pseudomonadati; Pseudomonadota; Alphaproteobacteria; Sphingomonadales; Sphingomonadaceae. The record is from RNAcentral.
GGCCUUAGUGGCGCACGGGUGCGUAACGCGUGGGAAUCUGCCCUUUGGUUCGGAAUAACAGCUGGAAACGGCUGCUAAUACCGGAUGAUGACGAGAGUCCAAAGAUUUAUCGCCAGAGGAUGAGCCCGCGUUGGAUUAGGUAGUUGGUGGGGUAAAGGCCUACCAAGCCGACGAUCCAUAGCUGGUCUGAGAGGAUGAUCAGCCACACUGGGACUGAGACACGGCCCAGACUCCUACGGGAGGCAGCAGUGGGGAAUAUUGGACAAUGGGCGCAAGCCUGAUCCAGCAAUGCCGCGUGAGUGAUGAAGGCCCUAGGGUUGUAAAGCUCUUUUACCCGGGAAGAUAAUGACUGUACCGGGAGAAUAAGCCCCGGCUAACUCCGUGCCAGCAGCCGCGGUAAUACGGAGGGGGCUAGCGUUGUUCGGAAUUACUGGGCGUAAAGCGCACGUAGGCGGCUUUGUAAGUCAGAGGUGAAAGCCUGGAGCUCAACUCCAGAACUGCCUUUGAGACUGCAUCGCUUGAAUCCAGGAGAGGUCAGUGGAAUUCCGAGUGUAGAGGUGAAAUUCGUAGAUAUUCGGAAGAACACC